This is a long non-coding RNA of Neodiprion fabricii, 686 nucleotides long. RefSeq lists it as uncharacterized. The record is from RefSeq and is a predicted model, not a curated record. The transcript is spliced from 2 exons. NCBI's taxonomy places the organism in Eukaryota, Metazoa, Arthropoda, Insecta, Hymenoptera, Diprionidae.
CUUCCGUUUUUCUUCGAGACCCCAUCGACCUUUCCACAGUCCACGACGCUCUUCGCCAGCAGGACUCUGCGAAGGUUUCAAGUUGUGAUGCACAUGCUUAUGUGUACAAUAUUGUCGCCAAGCAACGCGAGUGGACGGCCGCCGAUCAAUAUUCCCUCGAAUGACGGGUUUUUUAAACAUGAUGAUCAUUGAAGGAACAGGAAUGGGCGAUGAAUGACAAUAAAAGCGAGGCAAUCAUCGUGUAAAUUAAUAAAGCUAAUUUUAUUAGAACAUCAUCAUCGAAGUGUUAGUCAAAUAAAUAAAUUACAUCAAGUUUAUGCUAGAUGCCUGAUCCAUACGUUUUCAAAUCGUCGAGCAGGAAGUUGUCACUGGUAAUUCCGGUUUCUAUACUACACAGUGUUCGAAUAUGUGUAUAUUCGUAGUAUAUUUAUAGAAAAUUUAUGGAUAUGCUGUAUUUCUUCAAGUUCGUUGAUCGUAUGUGUAUACAAUAAUCCUACUACUGGAAUUUUACGUAAUAAUAUUGUCUGAUCGAUAUUUUGUAUCAGCAGCGCAUCAGAACGGAAAAACCGAAAUCUAGUUUUCUCAAAUCCAACUGCUCUGCCUACGCACAUAACAACGAACAGCAAAGAAAUUUAAAUUACGUUUAGCGAUAAUACAGUGCAGUCUAAUAUUUACACCUUUUCUUA